UACGUAGGGUGCGAGCGUUAAUCGGAUUUACUGGGCGUAAAGCGUGCGCAGGCGGCCCGUUAAGACAGGUGUGAAAUCCCUGGGCUCAACCUAGGAAUUGCGCUUGUGACUGGCGGGCUUGAGUACGGUAGAGGGGGGUGGAAUUCCUGGUGUAGCAGUGAAAUGCGUAGAGAUCAGGAGGAACACCGAUGGCGAAGGCAGCCCCCUGGGCCUGUACUGACGCUCAUGCACGCAAGCGUGGGGAGCAAACAGG
Molecule: ribosomal RNA, 253 nt
Filed under: uncultured microorganism
Description: partial 16S ribosomal RNA
Rfam family: Bacterial small subunit ribosomal RNA
Source: RNAcentral